Molecule: ribosomal RNA, 253 nt
Filed under: uncultured bacterium
Lineage: Bacteria
Description: partial 16S ribosomal RNA
Rfam family: Bacterial small subunit ribosomal RNA
Source: RNAcentral
UACGUAGGGGGCAAGCGUUGUCCGGAAUCAUUGGGCGUAAAGAGCGCGUAGGCGGCCCUGUAAGUCCGCUGUGAAAGUCAAGGGCUCAACCCUUGAAUGCCGGUGGAUACUGCAGGGCUAGAGUCCGGAAGAGGCGAGUGGAAUUCCUGGUGUAGCGGUGAAAUGCGUAGAUAUCUGGAGGAACACCGGUGGCGAAGGCGGCAUCCUGGACCGGCAUUGACGCUGAGGAGCGAAAGCCAGGGGAGCAAACGGG